RNAcentral lists this unclassified non-coding RNA (256 nucleotides) under Archaeorhizomyces sp. RNAcentral's name for it is "partial contains 5.8S ribosomal RNA, internal transcribed spacer 2, and large subunit ribosomal RNA". The stretch from base 1 to 69 matches the Rfam family "5.8S ribosomal RNA", at positions 84 to 154 of the family's 154-position model. Lineage: Eukaryota; Fungi; Ascomycota; Archaeorhizomycetes; Archaeorhizomycetales; Archaeorhizomycetaceae. The record is from RNAcentral.
GUGAGUCAUCGAAUCUUUGAACGCACAUUGCGCCUCUCUUAAAGGGGAGGCAUGCCUGUCUGAGCGUCAUUUAAACCAAUAAACCCGAAUGGGUUUGAGUUGGGCUUCGCCCGUCGGGCGUUGCCUCAAAGACAUCGGUCUUUAUGAGCGGACGAGAUCCAUUAGGACUGACCGUUCUGCGACCUUAAAACCUCUGACUUGACCUCAGAUCAGGUAGGGAUACCGCCUGAACUUAAGCAUAUCAAUAAGCGGAGGA